CCUACGGGAGGCAGCAGUGAGGAAUAUUGGUCAAUGGGCGCAAGCCUGAACCAGCCAAGUCGCGUGAGGGAUUAAGGCCCUAUGGGUUGUAAACCUCUUUUGUCGGGGAGCAAAGGCCGCCACGUGUCGCGGGCAGGAGAGUACCCGCAGAAAAAGCAUCGGCUAACUCCGUGCCAGCAGCCGCGGUAAUACGGAGGAUGCGAGCGUUAUCCGGAUUUAUUGGGUUUAAAGGGUGCGUAGGCGGAAGGUUAAGUCAGCGGUAAAAUGUCGGGGCUCAACACCGUACUGCCGUUGAAACUGGUGGGCUUGAGUGAGCGAGAAGAAGGCGGAAUGCGUGGUGUAGCGGUGAAAUGCAUAGAGAGCACGCAGAACCCCGAUUGCGAAGGCAGCAUACCGGCGCACAACUGACGCUGAGGCACGAAAGUGUGGGGAGCGAACAGGAUUAGAUACCCGGGUAGUC
Molecule: ribosomal RNA, 460 nt
Filed under: uncultured bacterium
Lineage: Bacteria
Description: partial 16S ribosomal RNA
Rfam family: Bacterial small subunit ribosomal RNA
Source: RNAcentral